This is a long non-coding RNA of Phyllopteryx taeniolatus (common seadragon), 584 nucleotides long. RefSeq lists it as uncharacterized. The record is from RefSeq and is a predicted model, not a curated record. The transcript has 2 exons. Lineage: Eukaryota; Metazoa; Chordata; Actinopteri; Syngnathiformes; Syngnathidae.
GUUCAGAUGAAUUAUCUUCACCUCCACCGCCUGCACCUUCAGGUUCUUCGGGGGGACUCUGCACACUUUGUAUGUGACCUCAUCGCCCUCAACGGGAACAUAUUCCCCAUCGAUGCUGAAACAGAAGACAAAAGAAGAGUCAUCACGUGUCAACGGCCACUCACUCUGAGAUGUGAACAAAGACGUCUUCGCCGCCACGGCUGGGUCGGAUAAACCCGUGCCCCUGCGACCUUGAAAAGUUCUUACAAACGCCCUUGAACACCGGACCCGAGUGAGCACGGACGGUGCUGUGUGCACACAAAGACAGGGUUGGGGAAAAGAAUUCAAAUGUUAUCAAUUACAUUUUGUGCGGCGGAAACGGAAAAAGAAACAAACUAAAGUAAAGAAAUGCGGAAAUGAAAAAGAGAUGAGGAUGCCACUUAACACACCUUCCUCAUUGUGUCGCGCACACAACAGAAGGGGAGAUGACUCAAUAAGAAGAUUCACCCCACAUUCUCUGUUGGCCUAAACACUGUCAGAAGCACUGACUUACAUUUUACAACCUCAAUUCCAAUAUUUUUUCCAUUAAAUGUAUUAUUAAUUUA